RNAcentral lists this ribosomal RNA (253 nucleotides) under uncultured bacterium. RNAcentral describes it as "partial 16S ribosomal RNA". It matches the Rfam family "Bacterial small subunit ribosomal RNA", at positions 524 to 776 of the family's 1533-position model. The record is from RNAcentral.
UACGUAGGGGGCAAGCGUUGUCCGGAAUUAUUGGGCGUAAAGAGCACGCAGGCGGUUUGGCAAGUCGGACGUGAAAAUCCGGGGCUCAACCCCGGACCUGCAUCCGAAACUGCCCGACUAGAGGUAGGUAGGGGAGAUCGGAAUUCCUGGUGUAGCGGUGAAAUGCGCAGAUAUCAGGAGGAACACCGGUGGCGAAGGCGGGUCUCUGGGCAGUAACUGACGCUGAGGAGCGAAAGCGUGGGGAGCGAACAGG